Long non-coding RNA from Equus caballus (horse), 898 nucleotides. NCBI's taxonomy places the organism in Eukaryota, Metazoa, Chordata, Mammalia, Perissodactyla, Equidae. The record is from Ensembl.
CUCGGAAGUCGGAAGAGGAGGGUGCCGAGUGGCUGCGAACAUCGAAAGGCAGCGUCAAGUUCUGCUUCCCGCGCUGACCGGCCCCGCUCGCCCACGCGUGCCCGGGGAGGCUGGGGGCCAGCCGAGGGGCGGGCGCGGGGCCGGGGGCGCGGGGAAGUGAGCGGAAGUCGGAGCAGAGACCGCGGAAGGAGGGUGGCUGGCGGCGGUCGCGGCAGUCUCCGAGGCCGGUUCAGAUUUGCUGUUUCCGCGUCAGCUUUCCUGGUUUAAGACUAGAGUGUGGCCGCGCUGUGCUUUUCUGUAGAAAGCAACGGUCGAGAGUGCCUCUCGGGUGUAGUGCUCCGAUCGGAAAGGCGGGAGCUUGGUGAUCAAGGGGUUCAGUGCGGCUCAGCCGAUUCCUCAACCUGCCCCUCAAGGGCUCCCCGUUCUGAAAAUGAGUUCUUCAUGUCUGCGGUCCCCGUGUUGGAAACCUGCAGAGGAUGUUGCGGGGGGAAGGGAGGGCUCAGUCUUCCAGGCCGAAGGGACACGGGACUUGAAGGAUGUUUGAUGGAGCCAGAAGAGGAUAUGACCAGCAAGAAUAUUUGUUUAAACUGAAAUCGAGACCUUCCUUCUCUUCAAUGGAGACUCCCAGAUACACAAGCUAUUGGGGGCUAUCCUACCAGAGAGCACAGUAAAGGCAGGAAAAUUUGGACAGAGACACACCCACAGAAGGAGGAUGCCACGUGAAGAUGAAGGCUGAGAUCAGGGUGAUGCCUCUAUAAGCGAAGGGACACCAAAGAUUGCCAGGCAACCACCAGAAGGGAGGAGAGAGGCGUGGAAUGGAUUCUUCCUCAUGGCCCUCGCUCAGAGGGAACCCGUCCGCUGACACCCUGAUCUCAGGCUUCUGGCCUCCAGAACUUUG